Molecule: ribosomal RNA, 492 nt
Filed under: uncultured bacterium
Lineage: Bacteria
Description: partial 16S ribosomal RNA
Rfam family: Bacterial small subunit ribosomal RNA
Source: RNAcentral
AGUGAACGCUGGCGGUAGGCCUAACACAUGCAAGUCGAACGGCAGCACAGUAAGAGCUUGCUCUUACGGGUGGCGAGUGGCGGACGGGUGAGGAAUACGUCGGAAUCUACUUUUUCGUGGGGGAUAACGUAGGGAAACUUACGCUAAUACCGCAUACGACCUACGGGUGAAAGCAGGGGAUCUUCGUACCUUGCGCGAUUGAAUGAGCCGAUGUCGGAUUAGCUAGUUGGCGGGGUAAAGGCCCACCAAGGCGACGAUCCGUAGCUGGUCUGAGAGGAUGAUCAGCCACACUGGAACUGAGACAAGGUCCAGACUCCUACGGGAGGCAGCAGUGGGGAAUAUUGGACAAUGGGCGCAAGCCUGAUCCAGCCAUACCGCGUGGGUGAAGAAGGCCUUCGGGUUGUAAAGCCCUUUUGUUGGGAAAGAAAAGCAGCAGGUUAAUACCCCGCUGUUCUGACGGUACCCAAAGAAUAAGCACCGGCUAACUUCGUG